CUUUGACCUCGGAUCAGGUAGGGAUACCCGCUGAACUUAAGCAUAUCAAUAAGCGGAGGACAAGAAACCAACCGGGAUUGCCCUAGUAACGGCGAGUGAAGCGGCAACAGCUCAAAUUUGAAAUCUGGCUCUUUUAGAGUCCGAGUUGUAAUUUGCAGAGGGCGCUUUGGCUUUGGCAGCGGUCCAAGUUCCUUGGAACAGGACGUCACAGAGGGUGAGAAUCCCGUACGUGGUCGCUGGCUAUUGCCGUGUAAAGCCCCUUCGACGAGUCGAGUUGUUUGGGAAUGCAGCUCUAAAUGGGAGGUACAUUUCUUCUAAAGCUAAAUAUUGGCCAGAGACCGAUAGCGCACAAGUAGAGUGAUCGAAAGAUGAAAAGCACUUUGGAAAGAGAGUCAAACAGCACGUGAAAUUGUUGAAAGGGAAGCGCUUGCAGCCAGACUUGCUUGCAGUUGCUCAUCCGGGCUUUUGCCCGGUGCACUCUUCUGCAGGCAGGCCAGCAUCAGUUUGGGCGGUAGGAUAAAGGUCUCUGUCACGUACCUCUCUUCGGGGAGGCCUUAUAGGGGAGGCGACAUACUACCAGCCUGGACUGAGGUCCGCGCAUCUGCUAGGAUGCUGGCGUAAUGGCUGUAA
RNAcentral lists this ribosomal RNA (630 nucleotides) under Alternaria infectoria. RNAcentral describes it as "eukaryotic LSU rRNA". It matches the Rfam family "Eukaryotic large subunit ribosomal RNA", at positions 1 to 643 of the family's 3401-position model. The record is from RNAcentral. Lineage: Eukaryota; Fungi; Ascomycota; Dothideomycetes; Pleosporales; Pleosporaceae.